GAUGAACGCUGGCGGCGUGCCUAAUACAUGCAAGUCGAGCGAACAGACGAGGAGCUUGCUCCUUUGACGUUAGUGGCGGACGGGUGAGUAACACGUGGAUAACCUACCUAUAAGACUGGGAUAACUUCGGGAAACCGGAGCUAAUACCGGAUAACAUGUUGAACCGCAUGGUUCAACAGUGAAAGACGGUCUUGCUGUCACUUAUAGAUGGAUCCGCGCCGCAUUAGCUAGUUGGUAAGGUAACGGCUUACCAAGGCAAUGAUGCGUAGCCGACCUGAGAGGGUGAUCGGCCACACUGGAACUGAGACACGGUCCAGACUCCUACGGGGGGCAGCAGUAGGGAAUCUUCCGCAAUGGGCGAAAGCCUGACGGAGCAACGCCGCGUGAGUGAAGAAGGUCUUCGGAUCGUAAAACUCUGUUAUUAGGGAAGAACAAAUGUGUAAGUAACUAUGCACGUCUUGACGGUACCUAAUCAGAAAGCCACGGCUAACUACGUGCCAGCAGCCGCGGUAAUACGUAGGUGGCAAGCGUUAUCCGGAAUUAUUGGGCGUAAAGCGCGCGUAGGCGGUUUUUUAAGUCUGAUGUGAAAGCCCACGGCUCAACCGUGGAGGGUCAUUGGAAACUGGAAAACUUGAGUGCAGAAGAGGAAAGUGGAAUUCCAUGUGUAGCGGUGAAAUGCGCAGAGAUAUGGAGGAACACCAGUGGCGAAGGCGACUUUCUGGUCUGUAACUGACGCUGAUGUGCGAAAGCGUGGGGAUCAAACAGGAUUAGAUACCCUGGUAGUCCACGCCGUAAACGAUGAGUGCUAAGUGUUAGGGGGUUUCCGCCCCUUAGUGCUGCAGCUAACGCAUUAAGCACUCCGCCUGGGGAGUACGACCGCAAGGUUGAAACUCAAAGGAAUUGACGGGGACCCGCACAAGCGGUGGCGCAUGUGGUUUAAUUCGAAGCAACGCGAAGAACCUUACCAAAUCUUGACAUCCUCUGACCCCUCUAGAGAUAGAGUUUUCCCCUUCGGGGGACAGAGUGACAGGUGGUGCAUGGUUGUCGUCAGCUCGUGUCGUGAGAUGUUGGGUUAAGUCCCGCAACGAGCGCAACCCUUAAGCUUAGUUGCCAUCAUUAAGUUGGGCACUCUAAGUUGACUGCCGGUGACAAACCGGAGGAAGGUGGGGAUGACGUCAAAUCAUCAUGCCCCUUAUGAUUUGGGCUACACACGUGCUACAAUGGACAAUACAAAGGGUAGCGAAACCGCGAGGUCAAGCAAAUCCCAUAAAGUUGUUCUCAGUUCGGAUUGUAGUCUGCAACUCGACUACAUGAAGCUGGAAUCGCUAGUAAUCGUAGAUCAGCAUGUUACGGUGAAUACGUUCCCGGGUCUUGUACACACCGCCCGUCACACCACGAGAGUUUGUAACACCCGAAGCCGGUGGAGUAACCUUUUGGAGCUAGCCGUCGAAGGUGGGACAAAUGAUUGGGGUGAAGUCGUAACAAGGUGGCCGUAUCGGAAGG
RNAcentral lists this ribosomal RNA (1503 nucleotides) under uncultured bacterium. RNAcentral describes it as "bacterial SSU rRNA". It matches the Rfam family "Bacterial small subunit ribosomal RNA". The record is from RNAcentral.